Molecule: ribosomal RNA, 247 nt
Filed under: uncultured bacterium
Lineage: Bacteria
Description: partial 16S ribosomal RNA
Rfam family: Bacterial small subunit ribosomal RNA
Source: RNAcentral
AUACGGGGGGUGCAAGCGUUGUUCGGAAUUAUUGGGCGUAAAGCGCGUGUAGGCGGUCUUUUAAGUCUGAUGUGAAAGCCCCGGGCUCAACCUGGGAAGUGCAUUGGAAACUGGGAGGCUUGAGUACGGGAGAGGAGAGUGGAAUUCCUAGUGUAGGAGUGAAAUCCGUAGAUAUUAGGAGGAACACCGGUGGCGAAGGCGGCUCUCUGGACCGAUACUGACGCUGAGACGCGAAAGCGUGGGUAGC